AUGCCAUGAUGAUUAGAUUUCCGCAAUAACUUCUUAAAUCUCUCCCAUGUAUCAUAAAAAGAUUCCUAGUCAAGUUACUGAAAUGUGGUGAUUUCAUAUCUUAGCUU
Molecule: non-coding RNA, 107 nt
Organism: Gossypium raimondii (Peruvian cotton)
Lineage: Eukaryota; Viridiplantae; Streptophyta; Magnoliopsida; Malvales; Malvaceae
Source: Rfam